RNAcentral lists this ribosomal RNA (253 nucleotides) under uncultured prokaryote. RNAcentral describes it as "partial 16S ribosomal RNA". It matches the Rfam family "Bacterial small subunit ribosomal RNA", at positions 524 to 776 of the family's 1533-position model. The record is from RNAcentral.
GACGUAGGGGGCCAGCGUUGUUCGGAAUUACUGGGUGUAAAGGGUUCGUAGGCGGUGUGGCAAGUCGGGAGUGAAAUUUCUGGGCUUAACUCAGAACCUGCUUCCGAAACUGCUGUGCUCGAGUGUGGGAGAGGCGCGUGGAAUUGCAGGUGUAGCGGUGAAAUGCGUAGAUAUCGGGAGGAACACCAGUGGCGAAGGCGGCUACCUGGACCAGCACUGACACUGAAGCACGAAAGCGUGGGGAGCAAACAGG